This 1132-nucleotide long non-coding RNA is filed under the name Corvus moneduloides (New Caledonian crow). Its description in RNAcentral is "lncRNA (ENSCMUG00000018552.1)". Lineage: Eukaryota; Metazoa; Chordata; Aves; Passeriformes; Corvidae. The record is from RNAcentral.
UUUUGGGGUACAAUCAGCGGUGGGGGUUAUUGGGGUGCAGUUUUGGGGUGCAGUUAUUGGGGUACAGUUAUUGGGGUACAGUUAUUGGGGUGUACAGUGUUGGGGUACAGUUUUUGGGGUACAGUUUUCGGGGUACAGUUUUGGGGUGCAGUCAGUGAUGGCGGUUUUUGGGGUACAGUUUUUGGGGUACAUUUUUAGGGUACAGUUUUGGGGGUACAGUGUUGGGGUGCAAUCAGUGAUGGCGGUUUUUGGGGUACAGUUUUUGGGGUACAGUUUUCAGAGUACAUUUCUAGGAUACAGUUUUCGGAUACAGUUUUUGGGGUACAUUUUUAGGAUACAGUUUUCAGGGUACAGUUAUUAGGGUACAGUUUUCGAGGUACAGUUUUUGGGGUACAGUUUUUGGGGUACAGUGUUGGGGUACAGUUUUGGGGUGCAGUUAGCGGGGUGCAGUUUGGGGGUACGGUUUUUGGGGUACGUUUUUGGGGUACAGUCAGUGAUGGGGGUUAUUGGGGGACAGUUUUUGGGGUACAGUUUUUGGGGUACAAUCAGUGAUGGCGGUUUUUGGGGUACAUUUUUAGGGUACAGUUUUUGGGGUACAGUUUUUGGGGUACAGUUUCGGGGUGCAGUUUUGGGAUACAAUCAGUGAUGGCAGUUACUGGGGUACAGUUUUUGGGGUACAGUGUUGGGGUACAGUUUUGGGGUGCAGUUAGCGGGGUGCAGUUCGGGGGUACAGUUUUUGGGGUACAGUUUUGGGGUACAAUCAGUGAUGGCGGUUUUUGGGGUACAUUUUUAGGAUACGGUUUUUGGCGUAGAGUUUUCGGGGUACAUUUCUAGGACACAUUUAUCGGGGUACAGUUUUUGGGGUACAGUUUUUGGGGUACAGUUUAUGGGGUACAUUUUUAGGGUACAGUUUUUGGGGUACAGUUUUCGGGGUACAUUUCUAGGGUACAUUUCUAGGGUACAGUUUUUGGGGUACAUUUCUAGGAUACAAUUUUUGCGGCACACUUUUCAGGCUACAUUCCCACGACGCAGUUACCAGGCGGCCGUUUCGGGGUGUACGCUCACUCCAACCUCCUCUGAGCUGCCAAAACCCCUUUGCCCAACCCUUUCUUGGGGUCCCCCACCCCAUUUC